This 482-nucleotide ribosomal RNA is filed under the name uncultured bacterium. RNAcentral's name for it is "partial 16S ribosomal RNA". It matches the Rfam family "Bacterial small subunit ribosomal RNA", at positions 28 to 507 of the family's 1533-position model. The record is from RNAcentral.
GACGAACGCUGGCGGCGUGCUUAACACAUGCAAGUCGAACGAUGAAGAAGAGAAACGCGAACUUCGGUUCAAAUUUCACUUCGGAUUAGUGGCAGACGGGUGAGUAACGCGUGAGCAACCUACCUCUUACAAAGGGAUAGCCUCGGGAAACCGUGAUUAAUACCAUAUGACACAUUCAUAAGGCAUCUUAAGAAUGUUAAAGCUACGGCGGUAAGAGAUGGGCUCGCGUCCCAUUAGCUAGUUGGUGAGGUAACGGCCCACCAAGGCGACGAUGGGUAACCGGCCUGAGAGGGUGAACGGUCACAUUGGAACUGAGACACGGUCCAAACUCCUACGGGAGGCAGCAGUGGGGAAUAUUGCACAAUGGAGGGAACUCUGAUGCAGCGACGCCGCGUGAGCGAUGAAAGAAUUCGUUUCGUAAAGCUCUGUUCUAUGGGAAGAAAAGGACUGUACCAUAGGAGAAAGCCCCGGCUAAAUACGUG